MicroRNA precursor from Cavia porcellus (domestic guinea pig), 89 nucleotides. Ensembl annotates it as microRNA 1224. NCBI's taxonomy places the organism in Eukaryota, Metazoa, Chordata, Mammalia, Rodentia, Caviidae. The record is from Ensembl.
GUGAGGACUCGGGAGGUGGAGGGAGGCCGGUCGCCGGGCCUGGGCUGGCGUGUCCAGUUUGCCUGUCCCCCCACCUCCUCUCUCCUCAG